AAAUAGAACUUUGCAGAGAGAGUUAACAGGGCGUGAAACCGUUAAUUGGCAAACGAAUCGGAGCCACGAAGUCGUUUCGUUGAAGUUGGGGCCGAGUUCAGUCUAGGAGAGAUCUUGGGCGUAUUCUCGUGUUCAACCUUCUUUGUAAGCGUACACUGCAACUAGUUAGACAAUUGGAGAUGGGCCCAGUCUCUGGUAGUAGUAGUGUGAUAGUCUUCGGGCUAUUGUGUUGCUGACCAGGCGAUGAGUGAACUAUUUCCAAAUACUGACUAGCAAAAUGAAAAUCGCCACUUGUGGCGUUAUACAGAAUGCAGUUGUCUACAUUAGUGUCUACAUGCUUGACCAUGUGCUUUUAAGUUCGGUAGUCUUGAAUUUGGACUUGCUAGCUACCAGUGGGGCAACUCCUGGUGCUAGUAUAGCUUCCAUCUAAUCGGCUACUGACUUGAGUAUAUGUUGUUUGGGUAUGCUACGAUAGGAUGUUAAUGUAAGAUAAUGCGCAAUCUUAUUGGCAGUGAGUAGGUCGGCUUUCCGAACGACCCGUCUUGAAACACGGA
RNAcentral lists this ribosomal RNA (554 nucleotides) under Epitrimerus sp. YN450 2. RNAcentral's name for it is "partial large subunit ribosomal RNA". Lineage: Eukaryota; Metazoa; Arthropoda; Arachnida; Trombidiformes; Eriophyidae. The record is from RNAcentral.